This 100-nucleotide small nuclear RNA is filed under the name Chinchilla lanigera (long-tailed chinchilla). The record is from RNAcentral. Lineage: Eukaryota; Metazoa; Chordata; Mammalia; Rodentia; Chinchillidae.
GAAACUUCCUGACUAAUGCUCGCUUUGGAAUGAUACAGAGAAGAUUAGCAUGACCCCUGCACAAGAAGACAUGAAAAUUCAUGAAGUGUUUCAUAUUUUA